This 530-nucleotide ribosomal RNA is filed under the name uncultured bacterium. Its description in RNAcentral is "bacterial SSU rRNA". It matches the Rfam family "Bacterial small subunit ribosomal RNA", at positions 980 to 1509 of the family's 1533-position model. The record is from RNAcentral.
CUUGACAUCCAGAGAAUUUAGCAGAGAUGCUUUAGUGCCUUCGGGAACUCUGAGACAGGUGCUGCAUGGCUGUCGUCAGCUCGUGUUGUGAAAUGUUGGGUUAAGUCCCGCAACGAGCGCAACCCUUAUCCUUUGUUGCCAGCACGUAAUGGUGGGAACUCAAAGGAGACUGCCGGUGAUAAACCGGAGGAAGGUGGGGAUGACGUCAAGUCAUCAUGGCCCUUACGAGUAGGGCUACACACGUGCUACAAUGGCGCAUACAAAGAGAAGCGACCUCGCGAGAGCAAGCGGACCUCAUAAAGUGCGUCGUAGUCCGGAUUGGAGUCUGCAACUCGACUCCAUGAAGUCGGAAUCGCUAGUAAUCGUAAAUCAGAAUGUUACGGUGAAUACGUUCCCGGGCCUUGUACACACCGCCCGUCACACCAUGGGAGUGGGUUGCAAAAGAAGUAGAUAGCUUAACCUUCGGGAGGGCGUUUACCACUUUGUGAUUCAUGACUGGGGUGAAGUCGUAACAAGGUAGGCGUAGACGU